RNAcentral lists this ribosomal RNA (495 nucleotides) under uncultured bacterium. Its description in RNAcentral is "partial 16S ribosomal RNA". It matches the Rfam family "Bacterial small subunit ribosomal RNA", at positions 29 to 506 of the family's 1533-position model. The record is from RNAcentral.
AUGAACGCUGGCGGCGUGCCUAAUACAUGCAAGUCGAGCGAACAGACGAGGAGCUUGCUCCUCUGACGUUAGCGGCGGACGGGUGAGUAACACGUGGAUAACCUACCUAUAAGACUGGGAUAACUUCGGGAAACCGGAGCUAAUACCGGAUAACAUGUUGAACCGCAUGGUUCAACAGUGAAAGACGGUCUUGCUGUCACUUAUAGAUGGAUCCGCGCCGCAUUAGCUAGUUGGUAAGGUAACGGCUUACCAAGGCAACGAUGCGUAGCCGACCUGAGAGGGUGAUCGGCCACACUGGAACUGAGACACGGUCCAGACUCCUACGGGAGGCAGCAGUAGGGAAUCUUCCGCAAUGGGCGAAAGCCUGACGGAGCAACGCCGCGUGAGUGAUGAAGGUCUUCGGAUCGUAAAACUCUGUUAUUAGGGAAGAACAAAUGUGUAAGUAACUAUGCACGUCUUGACGGUACCUAAGCAGAAAGCCACGGCUAACUACGU